GCCCGGAUACUCAAGUCGGUAGAGCAUCAGACUUUUAAUCUGAGGGUCCAGGGUUCGAGCCCCUGUUCGGGCG
Molecule: transfer RNA, 73 nt
Filed under: Fasciola gigantica
Lineage: Eukaryota; Metazoa; Platyhelminthes; Trematoda; Plagiorchiida; Fasciolidae
Rfam family: tRNA
About the family: Transfer RNA (tRNA) molecules are approximately 80 nucleotides in length. Their secondary structure includes four short double-helical elements and three loops (D, anti-codon, and T loops). Further hydrogen bonds mediate the characteristic L-shaped molecular structure. tRNAs have two regions of fundamental functional importance: the anti-codon, which is responsible for specific mRNA codon recognition, and the 3' end, to which the tRNAs corresponding amino acid is attached (by aminoacyl-tRNA synthetases). tRNAs cope with the degeneracy of the genetic code in two manners: having more than one tRNA (with a specific anti-codon) for a particular amino acid; and 'wobble' base-pairing, i.e. permitting non-standard base-pairing at the 3rd anti-codon position.
Source: Rfam by way of RNAcentral